GCCCCCGUUGUCUAAUGGCUAUGACGUCAGACUUCUACCAGUCAGUGACCGGGGCAUCUGGAGGUUGCGGGUUCGAGUCCCGCCGGGGGUA
This is a non-coding RNA of Cerioporus squamosus, 91 nucleotides long. NCBI's taxonomy places the organism in Eukaryota, Fungi, Basidiomycota, Agaricomycetes, Polyporales, Polyporaceae. The record is from the annotation of a GenBank genome assembly.